Molecule: long non-coding RNA, 288 nt
Organism: Amblyraja radiata (thorny skate)
Lineage: Eukaryota; Metazoa; Chordata; Chondrichthyes; Rajiformes; Rajidae
Exons: 3
Source: RefSeq, a predicted model, not a curated record
AGACAGAGGAAAAGAUAGCCUUGCCCGACCAAGCCACAAAUGAACAAGCAAAGAAAGCGGCGCAAGAAAAAGCAGGAAAAUGAGACGCCUUUCUGAUCUGUCCUGUACAUUCCACAAGCAUUGCCUUCUAGCUAUAUCUUUGUAAAAAAAAAGGGGAAAAAAAUCCUUUCUUGGAUGCAGUAUGAUCGGAUUGAAUGAACUGGCUGGCUCGUUCCUUACCCCAUUACCCCUAUCACUGUCCCCCCACUUUUCCUUCCUGGCCUUUCAAAAACAAAAUUAUGAAUUGGA